GCUGCCUAAGGCCUUAAUAGAGAUUAGAGUUACUCUGUUGAGGUCAUUUGAGCUUUAGAAUUUAGGGUCAUGAAGUUAAGAUUUUUGAUUUUGGUUUUGGUGCAAAUUUUGUCUGAUUUGGAGUUUAUAUGAAAGAGAUAUGGGCGCUCAAAUUUAAGGUAUUGAUUUUGUAUCUAUUGUCACUCUUUUAGAUAUAUCACAUGGAUACAAAAAGAAAUAAAGGAUUGGUGAUUGGAAUUGGAGAGAACACUUUUUCAACUACACUUAUGAU
RNAcentral lists this long non-coding RNA (271 nucleotides) under Physcomitrium patens. RNAcentral describes it as "long non-coding RNA (PPAT_LNC005461)". The record is from RNAcentral. Lineage: Eukaryota; Viridiplantae; Streptophyta; Bryopsida; Funariales; Funariaceae.